This 1353-nucleotide long non-coding RNA is filed under the name Theobroma cacao (cacao). RNAcentral describes it as "long non-coding RNA (TCAC_LNC001806)". Lineage: Eukaryota; Viridiplantae; Streptophyta; Magnoliopsida; Malvales; Malvaceae. The record is from RNAcentral.
CAGAUUUUUCUUCUUCUUCAUCCAUGCUCCACGCCAUUCUUGAAGCUUCCAUGCCAUUUUCUCUUUAUCCACCAUGGAAUCAAGUUUUCUUCACUUUCCUUUCCAUGUUUUCUUUUCCUUUCUUCUCCAAACUUCUUGAGCAUUAAAUUUACAACCUUUAACCCCAAUUUUCAGCACACCUAAACCCUAAGAGGAGAAGAAAGAAAAAGAGAGAAAGGAAGAAAAAGCUUGGUUUGGGUGAUUCAAGCAAGGAACGGUAAGAAUUCUUGUUUUUGGCUUGAGUAGUCUUUGAAAAUGAGUCAGUGACUUAGAGAAAUGUCUUGUGGCAGCAAAGAUUGGCUUGAUUAGAGAACAAUUGGUAACAUGUAAGCCAAUAAACCCAUGGGUACAUGAAGGACUUAAAGUGGAAAAAGAAAACGGUAAGCUUAACACUAUGUUUUAAAGCCUACGGUUAGUUGAAUAUUGUGAUGGAAUUAUGGUUGUUGAAAGGAUCUAUUUGCAUAAGCUAGUUGAAAAUUGCUAAGAUUGUAUGGCAUCUUUUUUGAAAGAAAUAAAAAAGGAAUAUUGUGGAUGGAGGAUUGAGAAACAAAGUAUUGAAAGUUAGAUAGAUAACGAUGCAUGUAAACUAGGAAAUAAUUGAGUGAAAGUGAGAAUAAUUGUUGUUGCCAUAUAUGCGGAUUAUGUGUUGAAAUAUAAGAUGGAUUUGGGUGGAAAUUAUUUAUAAGGUUGAAGUAGGCACGUGACAUCAUAAAUAAGUUACCGGUGAUAUAAUCUAAAGAAUUUUGUAAGCAAUGGAAGUAAGUAAUUUUGGUAAAAAUGUAUUAAGAUGUGAGUUAAUUGAAGAUGAUUUCACGAUAGGAUGAAAAUAUAAAUUUGAGUAAGGAUUAAUUGAUUGAAGUUCUGCCCGUAUACGUAUGUAAUUAAAUAUAUUGAAUUCGUAUUAUUGCUAGGAAGUGCAAAGAUAAAGUUAAAGAGCUGUGGUGGCAUGCCAGAGUAAAUAACGAGCAACCAGCCAGUGAAAAUAGUUAGAGACACCUCCGAACAAAUAGCGACUUAAAAUCUCAUUGUUGCCAGGUGAGUGAACUUGCAUUAAAAUGUCUUGGGAUAUACACGUUUAUGUUUGAUUGAAUCCUCUAAAACGUUUUAUUGGUUUUUCUUCAAAAACUUGCACGGGAACAAGCCCUUACGAAAUGUUUUUAUGUUAUGAAAUGGAUAGUGUGAUGAAUUCAUAUGAUUCUAUGUAACGAUAUAUAUAUAUACUAUGUCAUAAAUGGUACCAUUGUGUGACAAAUGCAACUGUGCAUGUGCGGAGUGGGCAGUGCACAUGCCGGUAAUGAUGCUGUUGUGAUAAUU